AUCUGGGAAAGUCACAUGUCCACGAAUGAUUCAGCUUUUUGUAGGCUGACGCCAUUGUUUACAUGUUAGUUUGAACCUUCCCAGGAAAGCUCAGAUGUGGAUUGGAAUCUCCCGGAGUUCAUUGUCAGUAAAGUGUUUUUUGAUUGGGCACUUACUGAGAAUAGUCCUUUCUCCAGAAGCUGUCCAAAUGCUUCACUGAGGCUACUUAGAAUCAAACACAUUGAGGUACAAGUACAUAGCCAAUAUUCAUAACUUCAAAUACAAAAAUGAUACACACAUACAGACAGCAUAAUCAUACCCAGCAAACGACAACCUUUCCAUAGGCACCCCACUUGACCUCCUCUGUACAAGACCUGGUGCAACCAUAGGACCCUGGUUGCAACAAUGAUCUAUAUGGUCACAGGGAAUGGGUGGGUCAUUACACAAAGUAAAGUAUUUCCCCAUGUUUAUUCCCCCCCUCCACCCCCC
This is a long non-coding RNA of Chelonia mydas (Green sea turtle), 468 nucleotides long. RefSeq lists it as uncharacterized. NCBI's taxonomy places the organism in Eukaryota, Metazoa, Chordata, Testudines, Cheloniidae. The transcript is spliced from 3 exons. The record is from RefSeq and is a predicted model, not a curated record.